CAAAAACAUGUCCGCUAGGAGAUAUUAGUGGUCAGGCCUGCUCACUGACUCGAAAGGUUUAAGAGCCGCGGUAUUUUGACCGUGCAAAGGUAGCAUAAUCAUUAGUUUUUUAAUUGGAAGCUAGAAUGAAUGGUUUGACAAAGGAAAUACUGUCUCUGUGUUACAAAUAGAAUUUAACUUUUAAGUGAAAAGGCUUAAGUGUUUCAGGGGGACGAUAAGACCCUAUAAAGCUUUAUGUGCUGUUUAAAUUUGGUUAGAUUAGAAAUUUUAAGGCCGAGUUUAAAUUAGUUUAUUUUGUUGGGGCGACAAAGAUAUAAAUUUGAGUAACUGUUGUUUAGAAAGAGACAAGAAUGAUUGAAUUAAUUGUAAAAGAUCCUUAUUAAAGAUUAGAAGAAUAAGUUACUUUAGGGAUAACAGCGUAAUUUCUUUUGAGAGCCCAUAUCGAAAAAGAAGAUUGCGACCUCGAUGUUGAAUUAAGGUUUCUUUAUUGUGCAGCAGCAAUAAAAGAAGGUCUGUUCGACCUUUAAACUCUUACAUGAUUUGAGUUCAGACCGGUGUGAGC
Molecule: ribosomal RNA, 562 nt
Filed under: Calappa gallus
Lineage: Eukaryota; Metazoa; Arthropoda; Malacostraca; Decapoda; Calappidae
Description: partial 16S ribosomal RNA
Rfam family: Archaeal large subunit ribosomal RNA
Source: RNAcentral